This 460-nucleotide ribosomal RNA is filed under the name uncultured bacterium. RNAcentral describes it as "partial 16S ribosomal RNA". It matches the Rfam family "Bacterial small subunit ribosomal RNA", at positions 338 to 795 of the family's 1533-position model. The record is from RNAcentral.
CCUACGGGAGGCAGCAGUGAGGAAUAUUGGUCAAUGGGCGCGAGCCUGAACCAGCCAAGUCGCGUGAAGGAUGACGGCCCUACGGGUUGUAAACUUCUUUUAUAGAGGAAUAAAGUGAGGCACGUGUGCCUUAUUGUCUGUACUUUAUGAAUAAGGAUCGGCUAGCUCCGGGCCAGCAGCCGCGGUACUACGGAGGAUCGGAGCGUUAUCCGGAUGUAUUGGGUUGAAAGGGAGCGUAGAUGGGUUGUUAAGUCAGUUGUGAAAGUUUGCGGCGCAACCGUAGAAUUGCAAUUGAUACUGGCAGACUUGAGUACAGUUGAGGUAGGCGGAAUUCGUGGUGUAGCGGUGAAAUGCUUAGAUAUCACGAAGAACUCCGAUUGCGAAGGCAGCUUACUAAACUGCCACUGACAUUGAUGCUCGAAAGUGUGGGUAUCAAACAGGAUUAGAUACCCUGGUAGUC